CACAGCUCGUCGCAUGUUCGGAUUUCGACGCAAACAAGGACGUCGAGGAAGACGACCGGCCGCUCCCCAUCACUGCACAAGUAACACUAGCUGAUCAUCAUCAUCAUCAUCGGGAGGGAGAGAAAGAGGCUGCGUGGGCGCAGGUUAUCCCAGCCAUGCCUUUACCUUUAGUAGCUGGGCUCUGGAGGCCCUUCAUACUCACCCCCAUUGGUGCUACCAUACUGUUGAUCGCCUCCUGCUGAUCACGCCACGGGGGAGUAGCCGUAGAAAAUCUUCAGCACAGGAUGAGCAACGGCGCCGCGGCCGCGAGCUCGCCUACGGGCACCGCAGCCGCCGGCAACAGCGAGGACUGGGCCGAGUUUUGCGAUAGGCAGGCAAGGUACGCCGCUCAAGAGUUCGCCCGGGCGUUCUGCACGUACGUCAACGUCGAGCUCACCGAGAUCGCCAGGACCAAUCUCUCGUACAAAGACUUUUUGAGGAAGUUCUUUGAGAGAUUCUGCGAUCACUUCGAAGUGGAGUACAGCAAGCGUUCGGUCAGAUCGCCAUCGAGCCAAAAUCUGAGGCUAACAGCAUCCAACAACCGCAUAAGCAAUGCAAUCAGCCAAAACAACAGGAUAUCCGUGAGAGCCUCUUCUAAUGAGGAGUUUGGCAAUCAUUUGCAGCAAAAUGGUGAAAAAACAUCGCCGAAACCCACGCACAAACCUUUCUUCCGGCGCUUGUCUUUCAAGGGUCUGAAAAAAAGUAAGGCGUUCUUUCUUAAGCAGCAAAGCGACGAUACCGAGCGAGCUCACGUAGAAAAUCGCAAGGUCGACAAGCAUUCAAAAACCAAACUUUCGAAAAUCGUCGUCGAAUGUAGAAAAGAAGGAUACGUGAAUGCGAUGGUUGUCGAAAACGCCGAUAAUGCCGAGAACACAAACAUCUCAUUAAAUAACACCGACAACACAGAUGGAUCCCAACAGUUUGAAAAGUGCAGGCUGUCCCUGGUCCGAGCCAGUGCGGGCUACAUGCUCGAGUUCUUUUACUCCUCGAAAUCUAAGCCACGCUACGGCAUAUUUUGCUCGGGUAUAUCGGAGACGCGAGAGACGACGGCUCUCGAGAUGCCCGACAAAGAGAACACCUUUGUUCUAAAAACCGGGGAAAAGGAAUUCAUCAUAGAGGCAAAGGAUCCCGUCGAUAUGAAGUCGUGGCUGGCGACGAUCAAAUAUUGCAUACGAGAUCCCCAGGGAUUGCAGUGCGAGAGCAGUGGAAGCGAUCUAAUUGACGAUGGGAGUUUGAUGCACGGACUCGUCUCGAUGCACGUCGAUGAAGACAGGACUAGGGCUAAUUCUGCGAGCAAAAGUAUCCGUUCCAACACAGAUCAUUUGGAUGAGCACGGCAGUAAUCCACCAGAAUUGCCACCGAGAUUGAAGGCAAGAAGUAGCAGUAACUUGGAGCUGUGCUCAUCGCAACAAGAAAUCGAACAGAUUGCAGGCAACGAGGUAGAAUCUUUUGUAGAUCUUUCAAGUAGUCUCCGAGAGUAUCCGUGGUUUCAUGGAACACUUCCAAGAACCGAUGCUACGAUGUUGGUCUUACACAACGGCACUGACGGCCACGGCACGUUUUUAGUACGACAGAGCGAAACGCGAAAAGGAGAAUACGUUUUGACAUUCAACUUCCAAGGGAAAGCCAAGCAUCUGAGGAUGACGUUGAACGACCAGGGUUGCCGAGUUCAGCAUCUCAGUUUCAGCACGAUUCACGACAUGUUAGAGCAUUUCCGCCAGCAUCCAAUACCUUUGGAGACGGGUGGAACGGCCGAUGUCAAGCUCACUGAGUACGUGGUGGCGAACCUCGUGGUGCACGGUCAACCAGUCCUUCCUACCACUACCCUCAAUUCUUCGUCACAAUCAUCGGACGCGACGAUGCAACAAGAGCGCAGAGUGGUACCAUUGCCGGAGCCUAGAGAAGUAAGAGUCUACAGUGAGAAUCUUACUCCUCAGGAGUGAGCACCGAUACCGUACGAGACAGCCAGUGCACGCUUCUGUGUCUGUCUAUUUAAUUUUCCCACAGUCUGAUGUCGUGGUUUUUACAUAAACAGUACAAACUUUUGCUGGUUCAAUAAGACUUCGGACCGAAUCGCUCGAGAGAAUUGAACAACAGCAACUACAAGUACAACAGCAAC
This 2158-nucleotide unclassified non-coding RNA is filed under the name Copidosoma floridanum. RNAcentral describes it as "sH2B adapter protein 2, transcript variant X1". Lineage: Eukaryota; Metazoa; Arthropoda; Insecta; Hymenoptera; Encyrtidae. The record is from RNAcentral.